ACAGGGAGGUAGUGACAAGAAAUAACAAUACAGGACUUUUUGGUUUUGUAAUUGGAAUGAGUUAAGUAUAAACCCCUUUACAAGUAUCAAUUGGAGGGCAAGUCUGGUGCCAGCAGCCGCGGUAAUUCCAGCUCCAAUAGCGUAUAUUAAAGUUGUUGCAGUUAAAAAGCUCGUAGUUGGAUUUCUGUUAAUAAUUUAUAUAAAAUAUUUUGAUGAAUAUUUAUAUAAUAUUAACAUAAUUCAUAUUACUAUUUUUUUUAGUAUAUGAAAUUUUACUUUGAGAAAAUUAGAGUGCUUAAAGCAGGCAUAUGCCUUGAAUACUCCAGCAUGGAAUAAUAUUAAAGAUUUUUAUCUUUCUUAUUGGUUCUAAGAUAAGAAUAAUGAUUAAUAGGGACAGUUGGGGGCAUUUGUAUUUAACAGUCAGAGGUGAAAUUCUUAGAUUUGUUAAAGACAAACUAAUGCGAAAGCAUUUGCCAAGGAUGUUUUCAUUAAUCAAGAACGAAAGUUAGGGGAUCGAAGACGAUCAGAUACCGUCGUAGUCUUAACCAUAAACUAUGCCAACUAGAGAUUGGAGGUUGUUCCUUACUCCUU
This 591-nucleotide ribosomal RNA is filed under the name Cryptosporidium hominis. Its description in RNAcentral is "SSU rRNA". It matches the Rfam family "Eukaryotic small subunit ribosomal RNA", at positions 456 to 1080 of the family's 1831-position model. Lineage: Eukaryota; Apicomplexa; Conoidasida; Eucoccidiorida; Cryptosporidiidae. The record is from RNAcentral.